AAAACAUUAAUAAUUACUAAUUCUAUCAUAAUAAUUUAAUAUAAAUAAUUAACAAAAAAUCUUGAAUAAAAACCUAAAAAUAAAAAAAUAAUAAAAAAAAUAGAAAAAAUAUAACAUAAUUUAAUAAUAGAAAAUUUAAAUCUUACAACCCAAUUAAUAAAAAAAUAUUUUAUAGAAAAAUUUAAAAGCUCAUCACAUUAAGUUUUUCUAUAAAAUAUUUUUUUAUUGGAAGUUAUAUGCUAGUCGUUUAAUAAUAUAUCUGGUUCUUGAAGAGAAAAAUUUAAUUUUUUAGAUAAAAGGAUUGUAUUAGUUAUUAUUAUGUUCUUUUUGUUUGGAAAAAUUUAAUGGGAUGAGCUUUUAAAUUUUUCUAUAAAAUAUUUUUUUAUUAAUUGGGUUGUAAGAUUUAAAUUUUCUAUUAUUAAAUUAUGUUAUAUUUUUUCUAUUUUUUUUAUUAUUUUUUUAUUUUUAGGGUUUUAUUCAAGAUUUUUUGUUAAUUAUUUAUAUUAAAUUAUUAUGAUAGAAUUAGUAAUUAUUAAUGUUUUUUUAUUUUUAUUUUUUAUAUUAAAAAAAGGAACUCGGCAAAUAUUUUCUUCGCCUGUUUAUUAAAAACAUGUCUUUUUGUUUUUAUUUAAGGUUUGGCCUGCUCACUGAAAUUUUUAAGAGCCGCGGUAUUUUAACCGUGCGAAGGUAGCAUAAUAAUUAGUCUUUUUAUUGGGGACUGGAAUGAAUGGCUGGACGAAAGAGAAUCUGUCUCUUUUUAAUUUAUUGAAUUUUACUUUUAAGUCAAAAGGCUUAAAUGUUUUUAAAAGACGAGAAGACCCUAUAGAGUUUUAUUUAUUUAUUUUUGGCAAGGUUUAGGUAUAUAUUCUUUUAAAUUUUAUAUAAGUUUUGUUGGGGUGAUAGGAAAAUUUAAUUAACUUUUCUUUUAUUUAUACAUUUAUUUAUGGGAGACAGAUCCAUUUUUUAUGAUUUUAAGUUAAAUUACCUUAGGGAUAACAGCGUAAUUUUUCUUUAGAGUUCUUAUCGAAAGAAAAGAUUGCGACCUCGAUGUUGGAUUAAAAUUUAUUUUUGGUGUAGAAGCUAAAACUUUAAGUCUGUUCGACUUUUAAAAUUUUACAUGAUCUGAGUUUAGACCGGCGUGAGCCAGGUUAGUUUCUAUCUUUAGUUAUUUUAAUUUAUUUAGUACGAGAGGACCAAUUAGU
This 1202-nucleotide ribosomal RNA is filed under the name Coleoptera sp. 31 KM-2017. RNAcentral describes it as "partial 16S ribosomal RNA". The stretch from base 992 to 1150 matches the Rfam family "Archaeal large subunit ribosomal RNA", at positions 2542 to 2701 of the family's 2987-position model. Lineage: Eukaryota; Metazoa; Arthropoda; Insecta; Coleoptera. The record is from RNAcentral.